This 91-nucleotide transfer RNA is filed under the name Cyrtodactylus brevipalmatus. RNAcentral describes it as "tRNA-Cys". The record is from RNAcentral. Lineage: Eukaryota; Metazoa; Chordata; Lepidosauria; Squamata; Gekkonidae.
GCCCCGCAGUGGCGCACACCAAAAUGCAAGUUUGGAGAUGUACCCCAAAGGGUGCCGGGGCUUCUCCCGUUUUACUCGGGACGGGAGAAGC